CCGCGGUAAUACGAAGGGUGCAAGCGUUAAUCGGAAUUACUGGGCGUAAAGAGCUUGUAGGCGGUUUGUCGCGUCUGCUGUGAAAAUCCGGGGCUCAACUCCGGACUUGCAGUGGGUACGGGCAGACUAGAGUGUGGUAGGGGAGACUGGAAUUCCUGGUGUAGCGGUGGAAUGCGCAGAUAUCAGGAGGAACACCGAUGGCGAAGGCAGGUCUCUGGGCCACUACUGACGCUGAGAAGCGAAAGCAUGGGGAGCGAACAGG
RNAcentral lists this ribosomal RNA (262 nucleotides) under uncultured bacterium. RNAcentral describes it as "partial 16S ribosomal RNA". It matches the Rfam family "Bacterial small subunit ribosomal RNA", at positions 515 to 776 of the family's 1533-position model. The record is from RNAcentral.